CAGUCGCCGCGGGAAUACGUAGGGUGCAAGCGUUAAUCGGAAUUACUGGGCGUAAAGCGUGCGCAGGCGGUUUGUUAAGACAGAUGUGAAAUCCCCGGGCUCAACCUGGGAACUGCAUUUGUGACUGGCAGGCUAGAGUAUGGCAGAGGGGGGUGGAAUUCCGCGUGUAGCAGUGAAAUGCGUAGAUAUGCGGAGGAACACCGAUGGCGAAGGCAGCCCCCUGGGCCAAUACUGACGCUCAUGCACGAAAGCGUGGGGAGCAAACAGGAUUAGAUACCCCAGUAGUCCCUGUCUCUUAUAC
Molecule: ribosomal RNA, 301 nt
Filed under: uncultured bacterium
Lineage: Bacteria
Description: partial 16S ribosomal RNA
Rfam family: Bacterial small subunit ribosomal RNA
Source: RNAcentral